GCAAAUAAUGGGAAUGAACUUUGUUUUAGGGAUUUAUGUCUGUAAGACCUUAAGUUCUUCAUGAUAAGGUUCUUCAUGGUGUAAAUAUAUUUCCUUUACCUUAUUAUUUAUAUGCAUGUAUGAGCUAACAAGUGAUCAGAUUUGAUCCAACUGUAGACCGAGUUAUGCAUCUGGUUCUCUCAUUUUGGAAGUAUUUUAGAUUCAACUAAAUCCAGUGUGAAAGAAGGAAAGUACUGGUUUUAAACUUUAAACCGAGUCCUAAAUACAAUGUCAUUGGAUAGGUUAAUUGAAAUGGCUCAUUAUUCUCUGCCUUAAUUCUUCUUACUUCCUACGAAAAGGACACUUGCUCAGCGCAUCUUGGAAUAGUAGCCAUAUCUGGUACCAACCUGAUAUCAGUAUCAUCCAAAGAAUCUGAGAGCUAACAUGCACAUUCUGAAUUCUGAAUUUUUUAGUUUGUUGGAAUAUUAUCAUCAGAAUCAGUAGUCACAAAUUCAGUUUACAUCUUUAUUUUUAAGUUCUUAAUUAGGACUCAUGGUCGUUUGGUCCUGUCUUGCUUCAUGUUUGUUCUUAUUGUUGUGAGGUAGACCCACUCUUACCCAUCCCUAACAUUUAGUGCCAGAUCUAUUUGAGGUAGCAGGAAAACGUAUACCAUGCAACCACUAAGCAUCCCAGGAUAUUUUGAGAUUAAUGCAUUAGCAUUAGCGGAAAAACUGUGUGCUGAUUGACAUUUUAGACCUGUAAUGAUUUUACUGUACAUAGAAUCUGUGAGCACCUAACCUAUAGAUUUAGGCUUUUAAUAGCUUCGACAGCUUGUUUUAUGCUAUUUGUAUGGCCUGGUUUCAUAAUGCUUGUGAAAACUCGAGUUCUGGAUGGGGUUGGUGUCCUUCACUGAAGAUGAAUGAAGUACCUACAGGAUCCAUAUUUUUAUUGGAGUACAUGAGGGAGGGAACAAGUUUCCGAGCAUGCUGUAUCAAGGCCUCAAGAGGAGGAAGUGCUUUCACUCUCUAUGUGAAUAAUUAGGUAUCCAAAAAUGUGUAAUAUAUUUACUCUGAUGGCUGCUCUAUUGAUAUGUAUGAAAACAAACCAGUUUUAUGUCUGCUUGUACAAGCCGUCAUUAAUUUGUUUGUGACAUGUGGUAACUGUGAUCUAAUAUUUUGUAUGGUGUACAUCUGAAAUUUAACCGUGGCGUUAGCACGGGCACCUUACUAGUCAAAUGAAGUGGGCUUGUUUUGUUGUUGUA
Long non-coding RNA from Panicum virgatum (switchgrass), 1240 nucleotides. RefSeq lists it as uncharacterized. The transcript is spliced from 2 exons. The record is from RefSeq and is a predicted model, not a curated record. NCBI's taxonomy places the organism in Eukaryota, Viridiplantae, Streptophyta, Magnoliopsida, Poales, Poaceae.